Tachysurus vachellii is the source of this 798-nucleotide long non-coding RNA. RefSeq lists it as uncharacterized. The record is from RefSeq and is a predicted model, not a curated record. Lineage: Eukaryota; Metazoa; Chordata; Actinopteri; Siluriformes; Bagridae. The transcript is spliced from 7 exons.
UAGGAGGUCUGUACAGAACCGUCGACUGCGCCGCCUGCUGUUAGCCGCUAGAACUGCAGCCACAGCCGGUGUUUACUGUUGUGUUAAACCGGAUGAUGGAGAAAACACGACAACGGGCAUCGAUCACACGACCGUCCACGAAGACCUAGUGUGUGACAUGGAACCGGCUCUGGUCCGACCCAAAGAGGUUGUUCGGGACCAGAUGAUGGAUCUGUUGGUAUCCAAGACUCAGCUGGAGAACAGAGUGAAGGAGCUGGAGGAAAUGCUCUGUGAGGCACGCAGAGACUGUGACCUGAAACAUAAGGUGUAUGUUUAAGGAGGCUUACAGCAUCCUCCAGUCUGAAAAUAAUGAGAUGAAGAAGACCAUUCAGCUGAAGGAAGAGAACGAGGAGAUGAAGAAGACUCUGAGCCACAAGGAGGAGUUCCUGAAGAAGCGAGCGCGACAGGUUCAAGUCAUCCUCCAACCAGAAAACUGAGAUACAGGAGACCAUUGCUCAGCUGGAGGAGGAGAAGUCUGUCAUGAUAAUCCAGAUAGAGAAUCAGAGAAACAUAGUGAUGGACCUGGGAAACCUGGUCCUAGACUUGAACCUGGAGAUUGCUGAUCUAAUGAAUGAGCAUGAACGAGAGAGGGAGGCUCAUAAUGUUCUCCAGAAUGAGUAUGAUGAGAUGAAGAAGAUCCUGAAACAAAAGGAGGACCUACUGAAUGAGUGUGAGUGAGAGCGGGCGGGUCACAGCAUCCUCCAGGCUGAGAACAGCCAGAUGAAGAAGACUAUGAUUGACAAGGAGGAGUUACUGAAU